Molecule: long non-coding RNA, 907 nt
Organism: Perognathus longimembris pacificus (Pacific pocket mouse)
Lineage: Eukaryota; Metazoa; Chordata; Mammalia; Rodentia; Heteromyidae
Exons: 3
Source: RefSeq, a predicted model, not a curated record
CAGGCCCUGAGUUCAAGCCCCCAGGACUGGCAAAAGAAAAAAAAAAAAAAGUGGGGGGGGGUCUACUAAGCUCAGGACUGUAAUCCUAGCUACUCAGGAGGUUGAGAUCUGAGGAUUGCAGAUCAAAGCACACCUGAGUAGGAAAAGUCAGACUCUUAUCUCCGAUUAACCACAAAAAGCCAGAAGUAGAGCUCUGGCUCAAGUAGUAGAGUACUAGCCUUGAGCAAAACUAUCUCAGGGAAAAAAGAAAUAUCUCAGGGACAGCACCUGGGCUCUGAGUUCAAGUCCCAGGACCAGCACAAUAAAGGGGGGAAAUGGUAUAUCUUCCUUUGCAGACGUCCAGGUAGUUUGUCCAUCUGCAACUUGUUAGCAGGUUCCUACCAUAGGUCAUCUCAAUCAGGGCUAGAAUCACACAUACGUCCCUCACACAGCUGAACAUACACUUGGGCUUUGUUUAGGAAUAGUGUAGAAAUCAAUUAUAUGGGGACUAAAUUAUCAAGAUUGCCUGAUGAGCAAGGAUGGAAAAACCUUUUAGCAGCUAGUAGUGGUGUGCUCUCACUGGCCUAGCCCCACCCCGGGGAGAAAUCCUGCCGGGAGCUAUGAAGAUUUAGCCCUUAGCAAGCAACCCUUCCUAAAUAAAUACGACAGCCGUUGGUCAGGUUCCCUCAGUGUGCCUACUUCACCAGCGAGAAAGAAACUCAGAUGGGUGGAAUCCCAGGGGUACACAGACAGUAACUGCCUCACACUGAAAGCAAUCCACCUGUGCCUUUCUCCCUUUGCCACACUUUACAAAGGAGGCAAGCAGGGCUGAAAAACAAGAUUUGAGCAAGACUUGCCCAGCCAUUGCAUUAGAGCUAACAUUCGAAAGCUGGGUGAUGGAGGGUGUUUCACAAGUGACUCUCAGAUC